Molecule: unclassified non-coding RNA, 343 nt
Filed under: soil metagenome
Description: partial contains 5.8S ribosomal RNA, internal transcribed spacer 2, and large subunit ribosomal RNA
Rfam family: 5.8S ribosomal RNA (bases 1-120)
Source: RNAcentral
GAUGAAGAACGUAGCGAAAUGCGAUAAGUAAUGUGAAUUGCAGAAUUCAGUGAAUCAUCGAAUCUUUGAACGCACAUUGCGCCCGCCAGCAUUCUGGCGGGCAUGCCUGUUCGAGCGUCAUUUCAACCCUCGAGCCCCCCCGGGGGCCUCGGUGUUGGGGGACGGCACACCAGCCGCCCCCGAAAUGCAGUGGCGACCCCGCCGCAGCCUCCCCUGCGUAGUAGCACACACCUCGCACCGGAGCGCGGAGGCGGUCACGCCGUAAAACGCCCAACUUUCUUAGAGUUGACCUCGAAUCAGGUAGGAAUACCCGCUGAACUUAAGCAUAUCAAUAAGCGGAGGA